AGAGUUUGAUCCUGGCUCAGAUUGAACGCUGGCGGCAUGCCUAACACAUGCAAGUCGAACGGCAGCACAGGUAGCAAUACCGGGUGGCGAGUGGCGGACGGGUGAGUAAAGCAUCGGGAUCUACCCUGACGUGGGGGAUAACCUCGGGAAACCGGGACUAAUACCGCAUACGUCCUACGGGAGAAAGCGGGGGACCUUCGGGCCUCGCGCGGCAGGACGAACCGAUGUGCGAUUAGCUAGUUGGCGGGGUAACGGCCCACCAAGGCGACGAUCGCUAGCUGGUCUGAGAGGAUGAUCAGCCACACUGGGACUGAGACACGGCCCAGACUCCUACGGGAGGCAGCAGUGGGGAAUAUUGGACAAUGGGCGCAAGCCUGAUCCAGCAAUGCCGCGUGUGUGAAGAAGGCCUUCGGGUUGUAAAGCACUUUUAUCAGGAGCGAAAUACCACGGG
RNAcentral lists this ribosomal RNA (451 nucleotides) under uncultured bacterium. RNAcentral describes it as "bacterial SSU rRNA". It matches the Rfam family "Bacterial small subunit ribosomal RNA", at positions 8 to 459 of the family's 1533-position model. The record is from RNAcentral.